UACGAAGGGGGCGAGCGUUGUUCGGAAUCACUGGGCUUAAAGCGUGCGUAGGUGGACAGAAAAGUCAGAAGUGAAAGCCCAGGGCUUAACCUUGGAACUGCUUUUGAAACUUUUUGUCUAGAAUUCGGUAGAGGCUAGUGGAAUAUCCAGUGUAGAGGUGAAAUUCGCAGAUAUUGGAUGGAACACCAGUGGCGAAGGCGACUAGCUGGGCCGAUAUUGACACUGAGGCACGAAAGCGUGGGUAGCAAACAGG
RNAcentral lists this ribosomal RNA (253 nucleotides) under uncultured bacterium. RNAcentral describes it as "partial 16S ribosomal RNA". It matches the Rfam family "Bacterial small subunit ribosomal RNA", at positions 524 to 776 of the family's 1533-position model. The record is from RNAcentral.